This 556-nucleotide ribosomal RNA is filed under the name Placopsis clavifera. RNAcentral describes it as "eukaryotic LSU rRNA". The stretch from base 197 to 350 matches the Rfam family "5.8S ribosomal RNA". Lineage: Eukaryota; Fungi; Ascomycota; Lecanoromycetes; Trapeliales; Trapeliaceae. The record is from RNAcentral.
AUCAUUACCGAGCAAGGGUCCCUGCCCAGGGGCCCGACCCUCCACCCAGUGCGUACCGACCCUUUUGUUGCUUUGACGGGCCGCGGGGUCCCCCUCCACGGGGCCUCCCGUUGGCCUUUGGCGGACGAGCGCCCGUCAAAGACCCCCCAUUCAUCCUUGCAAUCCGUGUCGUCUGAGCUAUGAUACAAUUAAGUAAAACUUUCAACAACGGAUCUCUUGGUUCUGGCAUCGAUGAAGAACGCAGCGAAAUGCGAUAAGUAAUGUGAAUUGCAGAAUUCAGUGAAUCAUCGAAUCUUUGAACGCACAUUGCGCCCCCUGGCAUUCCGGGGGGCAUGCCUGUCCGAGCGUCAUUACACCCCUCGAGCUUGGCUCGGUGAUGGGAACUGCCCCGGGGGGCAUUCCCGAAAAGCAGCGCGCGAGGCCCUUGGACCGUUCGGCGAAGUACAACAUUCGUUCCGCCGUGACGCUCGGGAGCCUCUGCCGAACAACCCGCCUUGUGCACUCACGAUUGACCUCGGAUCAGGUAGGGAUACCCGCUGAACUUAAGCAUAUCAUA